Paramuricea clavata is the source of this 359-nucleotide non-coding RNA. NCBI's taxonomy places the organism in Eukaryota, Metazoa, Cnidaria, Anthozoa, Malacalcyonacea, Plexauridae. The record is from the annotation of a GenBank genome assembly.
UAUUUUCCAUAUUUUUUCCCAUUUUUUUCCAUAUUUUCGACAUCUUUUGAACAUAUUCUAGUUCCAGCCUUUAUCCAUGUUUCCUGUUAAUUUAUACUUAUAGCCAUGAAGCUUCAUUAUCUGAUUGUGAAUUUAAGACAAUUUCCUUGUAUAGAUGUAUUUCCAUCUGACUUUCUCGUUUGAGAAGAAAGUUAAGAUAGGGAACUUGUAUUACUCGUGUUAUAUUUAUACUCAUUAUAGCAGCCUGAAUGUGUGUCCGGAAAUGGGAUUGAUAUGCCCGGUGGACUUUAUUGCCGGUAGCUGACGUCACCGACCACGCUACCGGAAGUGCAAGCUAAGCAUGUUUUCUAAGUAUUCGG